ACGCACCUUUCCUGUAUUUGAAAAAGAACAACAAAGUCAAAGGACGAAGUCGAAAGAGAAACUUCCCGUUUAUCACGUAUAUUUAUGAAGCUUGUCAAACAGAUCAAUGGCUAAAAGGCAUCAAGUGGAGCAAAAUUAAAAUUCAGUUUUGGGAAUUCCAGUCUUUAAAAUCAUCAAAGAGUUUAAAUAUACUGCAAGAGUAAAAAGAUGUCACUUGGAAAUACUUAUCUGAUAAAGACCACUCCAGCUUAAAAUUUACCGCUGAAAGAUCCCGAGGUGGUGGAAGAAUGAUGACAUGCAAUAAGGAC
Molecule: long non-coding RNA, 308 nt
Organism: Mytilus trossulus (common blue mussel)
Lineage: Eukaryota; Metazoa; Mollusca; Bivalvia; Mytilida; Mytilidae
Exons: 3
Source: RefSeq, a predicted model, not a curated record